This 831-nucleotide ribosomal RNA is filed under the name Xanthoparmelia sp. Its description in RNAcentral is "SSU rRNA". It matches the Rfam family "Bacterial small subunit ribosomal RNA", at positions 367 to 1152 of the family's 1533-position model. The record is from RNAcentral. Lineage: Eukaryota; Fungi; Ascomycota; Lecanoromycetes; Lecanorales; Parmeliaceae.
GUAUAGCAAUAGCUACUUGCAUCAUAGUAAAUAUGAUGCAAGAUCGACUAUGUUGAAUAAAAUUCUAGGUAGAAUUAUGAUAAUGACAUUGUCUGCCUAUGUGUCUUGACCAAAUUACGUGCCAGCAGUCGCGGUAAUACGUAGAAGACUAGUGUUAUUCAUGUUUAAUCGGUUUAAAGGGUACCUAGACGGUAGAUCAAGCUUUCUAAUAAAGGAAAAGGACUAAUUUACUAGAGUUACUUAUGAGGGGGUAUUAAAGUACUGCUGGUGUAGAGAUGAAAUUCUGUCAUACCUCUUUUCAAAAGAAAAACCAUGGCACAGGUAUAGGCGAAGGCAUCCCCUUAUGUGAUAACUGACGUUGAGGGACGAAGGCUUUGUGUAGCGAACAGGAUUAGAUACCCCAGUAGUCGAAGCAGAAAAUGAUGAAUGUCAUAGAUUAGAUAUAUAAGUUUAUUCUAUAAAUGAAAGUGUAAGCAUUCCACCUCAUGAGUAAUUUGGCAACAUUGGAACUGAAAUCAUUAGACCGUUUCUGAAACCAGUAGUGAAGUAUGUUGUUUAAUUUGAUGAUCCGCAAAAAACCUUACCACAAUUUGAAUAUUUAUAUUAUUUAUUGUUUUAUUAUUAAUUUUCGUAUAGAUCACGUAAAAGAAAACUGAAAUCGAUGGUAAUAGUAAGAAAAUUAAUAAAGAGGCAAUAAGAUAUAUUUACAAGCGUUGCACGGCUGUCUUCAGUUAAUGUCGCGAGACUUUGGUUAGUUCCAUUAAAUUAACGUAAACCCUUACUUUAUUUUUAUAUAGAGUAGUUCCCCGCUAUAUUGGAUAUGAUAACAGG